Molecule: ribosomal RNA, 2061 nt
Filed under: Enterobacter hormaechei
Lineage: Bacteria; Pseudomonadati; Pseudomonadota; Gammaproteobacteria; Enterobacterales; Enterobacteriaceae
Also listed under: 1 other name
Description: partial 23S ribosomal RNA
Rfam family: Bacterial large subunit ribosomal RNA
Source: RNAcentral
UCAUCUUCGGGGGUAGAGCACUGUUUCGGCUAGGGGGCCAUCCCGGCUUACCAACCCGAUGCAAACUACGAAUACCGAAGAAUGUUAUCACGGGAGACACACGGCGGGUGCUAACGUCCGUCGUGAAGAGGGAAACAACCCAGACCGCCAGCUAAGGUCCCAAAGUCAUGGUUAAGUGGGAAACGAUGUGGGAAGGCACAGACAGCCAGGAUGUUGGCUUAGAAGCAGCCAUCAUUUAAAGAAAGCGUAAUAGCUCACUGGUCGAGUCGGCCUGCGCGGAAGAUGUAACGGGGCUAAACCAUGCACCGAAGCUGCGGCAGCGACACUAUGUGUUGUUGGGUAGGGGAGCGUUCUGUAAGCCGUUGAAGGUGUGCUGUGAGGCAUGCUGGAGGUAUCAGAAGUGCGAAUGCUGACAUAAGUAACGAUAAAGCGGGUGAAAAGCCCGCUCGCCGGAAGACCAAGGGUUCCUGUCCAACGUUAAUCGGGGCAGGGUGAGUCGACCCCUAAGGCGAGGCCGAAAGGCGUAGUCGAUGGGAAACAGGUUAAUAUUCCUGUACUUGGUGUUACUGCGAAGGGGGGACGGAGAAGGCUAUGUCAGCCGGGCGACGGUUGUCCCGGUUUAAGCAUGUAGGCGGAGGUUCCAGGUAAAUCCGGUACCUUAUUAACGCUGAGGUGUGAUGACGAGGCACUACGGUGCUGAAGUGAUAAAUGCCCUGCUUCCAGGAAAAGCCUCUAAGCAUCAGGUAACACGAAAUCGUACCCCAAACCGACACAGGUGGUCAGGUAGAGAAUACCAAGGCGCUUGAGAGAACUCGGGUGAAGGAACUAGGCAAAAUGGUGCCGUAACUUCGGGAGAAGGCACGCUGAUAUGUAGGUGAAGCCCCUGCGGGCGGAGCUGAAAUCAGUCGAAGAUACCAGCUGGCUGCAACUGUUUAUUAAAAACACAGCACUGUGCAAACACGAAAGUGGACGUAUACGGUGUGACGCCUGCCCGGUGCCGGAAGGUUAAUUGAUGGGGUUAGCGGCAACGCGAAGCUCUUGAUCGAAGCCCCGGUAAACGGCGGCCGUAACUAUAACGGUCCUAAGGUAGCGAAAUUCCUUGUCGGGUAAGUUCCGACCUGCACGAAUGGCGUAAUGAUGGCCAGGCUGUCUCCACCCGAGACUCAGUGAAAUUGAACUCGCUGUGAAGAUGCAGUGUACCCGCGGCAAGACGGAAAGACCCCGUGAACCUUUACUAUAGCUUGACACUGAACACUGGUCCUUGAUGUGUAGGAUAGGUGGGAGGCUUUGAAGCGUGGACGCCAGUCUGCGUGGAGCCAUCCUUGAAAUACCACCCUUUAAUGGCUGGUGUUCUAACGUAGACCCGUGAUCCGGGUUGCGGACAGUGUCUGGUGGGUAGUUUGACUGGGGCGGUCUCCUCCCAAAGAGUAACGGAGGAGCACGAAGGUUGGCUAAUCCUGGUCGGACAUCAGGAGGUUAGUGCAAUGGCAUAAGCCAGCUUGACUGCGAGCGUGACGGCGCGAGCAGGUGCGAAAGCAGGUCAUAGUGAUCCGGUGGUUCUGAAUGGAAGGGCCAUCGCUCAACGGAUAAAAGGUACUCCGGGGAUAACAGGCUGAUACCGCCCAAGAGUUCAUAUCGACGGCGGUGUUUGGCACCUCGAUGUCGGCUCAUCACAUCCUGGGGCUGAAGUAGGUCCCAAGGGUAUGGCUGUUCGCCAUUUAAAGUGGUACGCGAGCUGGGUUUAGAACGUCGUGAGACAGUUCGGUCCCUAUCUGCCGUGGGCGCUGGAGAAUUGAGGGGGGCUGCUCCUAGUACGAGAGGACCGGAGUGGACGCAUCACUGGUGUUCGGGUUGUCAUGCCAAUGGCACUGCCCGGUAGCUAAAUGCGGAAGAGAUAAGUGCUGAAAGCAUCUAAGCACGAAACUUGCCCCGAGAUGAGUUCUCCCUGAGACUUUAAGUCUCCUGAAGGAACGUUGAAGACGACGACGUUGAUAGGUCGGGUGUGUAAGCGCAGCGAUGCGUUGAGCUAACCGAUACUAAUGAACCGUGAGGCUUAACCUU